GGUCAUUAAAGGCGAAAGUCGCUUCCGGAGGGGCUUGCGGCCGAUUAGCUUGUUGGUGGGGUAACGGCCUACCAAGGCAACGAUCUGUAGCUGGUCUGAGAGGACGGUCAGCCACACGGGGACUGAGAUACGGCCCCGACUCCUACGGGAGGCAGCAGCUAGGAAUCUUGGGAAUGCGCGAAAGCGUGACCCAGCAACGCCGCGUGGGCGAUGAAGGCCUUCGGGUCGUAAAGCCCUUUUGCAGGGGAAGAUGAUGACGGUACCUUGCGAAUAAGCCACGGCUAACAACGUGCCAGCAGCCGCGGUAAUACGUAGGUGGCAAGCGUUGUCCGGAUUUACUGGGCGUAAAGGGCGUGCAGGCGGUCUGUUAAGUUCAGGGUGAAAGCUCCCGGCUCAACUGGGAGAGGUCCUUGGAUACAGGCAGACUCGAGGGAGGUAGAGGAGAGUGGAAUUCCCGGUGUAGUGGUGAUAUGCGUAGAUAUCGGGAGGAACACCAGUGGCGAAGGCGGCUCUCUGGGCCUUUCCUGACGCUGAGACGCGAAAGCGUGGGGAGCGAACCGGAUUAGAUACCCGGGUAGUCCACGCCGUAAACUAUGAACACUAGGUGUGGGGGGUAUCGACCCCCUCCGUGCCGAAGCUAACGCAAUAAGGGUUCCGCCUGGGGAGUACGGCCGCAAGGCUAA
RNAcentral lists this ribosomal RNA (683 nucleotides) under uncultured bacterium. RNAcentral's name for it is "bacterial SSU rRNA". It matches the Rfam family "Bacterial small subunit ribosomal RNA", at positions 196 to 897 of the family's 1533-position model. The record is from RNAcentral.